This is a long non-coding RNA of Pan paniscus (pygmy chimpanzee), 1560 nucleotides long. NCBI's taxonomy places the organism in Eukaryota, Metazoa, Chordata, Mammalia, Primates, Hominidae. The record is from Ensembl.
ACUGCUAUCUGGCCACACCUCCUUUUCCUUUCAUCUUUCUCAUUGACCAAUGGGCUUCAAGCAUUAAGGCCACACCCCUAUUCUGCAUUCUAGUGCAGCCCUGGUUACGCCUCCUCUGGCUCAGUCACACAGCGACGUAGAGGUGACUGGAGGUGUAUACUUGUCCUCACCUGGAUCAUGCUGAUGUGGCCCCAUCCCCACCUCCCUAUCCAUCCCCACCUCCCUACCCAUCCCCACCUCCCUACCCAUCCCCACCUCCCUACCCAUCCCCACCUCCCUACCCAUCCUAUGAUGUCCAAAGAAACCCGACAGAGCAAAUUGGCCAAGGCCAAGGAACAGUUGACAGACCAUCAUCCCCAGACCAACCCUAGUGUUGGUACAGCAGCAAGCGACACCAAAAAGAAGAAAAUAAAUAAUGGCACUAACCCUGAGACAACCACUUCUGGUGGUUGCCACUCACCUGAGGAUAAACAACAGAACCGAGCUCAGCUGGAAGAAGAACAGAAGGCAAGCCACCAACAUCAGGAAGCCCUAAGGAGGGAGCUAGAGGCCCAGGUCCAUACCAUACGAAUCCUUACAUGUCAGAAAACUGAGCUUCAGACGGCACUCUAUUACAGCCAGCAUGCUGUCAAGCAGUUGGAAGGAGAGGCCAGGGAUCUGAUCAGCCGCCUGCAUGAUUCAUGGAAGUUUGCAGGAGAGUUAGAGCAGGCUCUCUCUGCUGUCGCUACACAGAAGAAGAAGGCGGAUAGGUACAUUGAGGAGUUAACAAAGGAGAGGGACGCCCUGAGUCUGGAACUGUACAGGAACACCAUAACUGAUGAGGAGCUGAAGGAGAAAAAUGCCAAACUACAAGAAAAACUUCAACUUGUAGAAUCUGAAAAGUCUGAGAUCCAGCUCAACGUAAAGGAGCUAAAAAGGAAACUGGAGAGGGCCAAGCUCCUGCUGCCACAGCAGCAGCUGCAGGCGGAGGCGGACCACCUGGGUAAGGAGCUACAGAGUGUGUCAGCAAAGCUCCAAGCCCAGGUGGAAGAGAACGAGUUGUGGAACCGCCUGAACCAGCAACAGGAGGAGAAGAUGUGGAGGCAGGAGGAGAAGAUACAGGAGCAGGAGGAGAAGAUACGGGAGCAGGAGGAGAAGAUGCGGAGGCAGGAGGAGAUGAUGUGGGAGAAGGAGGAGAAGAUACGGGAGCUGGAAGAGAAGAUGCACGAGCAGGAGAAGAUACGGGAGCAGGAAGAGAAGAGGCAGGAGGAGGAGAAGAUACGCGAGCAGGAGAAGAGGCAGGAGCAGGAGGCGAAGAUGUGGAGGCAGGAGGAGAAGAUAUGGGAGCAGGAGGAGAAGAUACGGGAGCAGGAGAAAAAGAUGUGGAGGCAGGAGGAGAAGAUUCACGAGCAGGAGAAGAUACGGGAGGAGGAGAAGAGGCAGGAGCAGGAGGAGAUGUGGAGGCAGGAGGAGAAGAUAAGGGAGCAGGAGGAGAUAUGGAGGCAAAAGGAGAAGAUGCACGAGCAGGAGGAGAAAAUACGGAAGCAGGAGGAGANNNNNNNNNNNNNNNNNNNNAAAUAA